RNAcentral lists this transfer RNA (61 nucleotides) under Tullbergia bisetosa. Its description in RNAcentral is "tRNA-Gly". The record is from RNAcentral. Lineage: Eukaryota; Metazoa; Arthropoda; Collembola; Poduromorpha; Tullbergiidae.
AAGUUUAUAGUAUAAUAAGUACAGGUGAUUUCCAAUCACCUAGUCCAAGCUGGGAAACUUA